RNAcentral lists this long non-coding RNA (951 nucleotides) under Malus domestica (apple). RNAcentral describes it as "long non-coding RNA (MDOM_LNC016408)". Lineage: Eukaryota; Viridiplantae; Streptophyta; Magnoliopsida; Rosales; Rosaceae. The record is from RNAcentral.
GAAAAGUUUCAACUUAUUGAAUUUGACACUCGAAUUUGACUAGAAGUUUAUAUUUUCAAGCACGACCUAUUGUAAUGAGAAUUUAUCAUAUAUAGCCAAUAUUUACACUCUACUUUCGUAAAUAUCAGUUUUUAUAAAAACUAUCAAAUAUAUCCAAAAUUUCAUUGUAAUAGACUUUAAUACCCUCAAGUGGUUCGGUGACAGCAAUCAUGUUGUGAGUUUGAAUGAAAAUGAAUUCCAACGAUUUUAGGUGUUGUGUAAUUUGAUUUUAAUUUGUAGGGUAGUUUGGUCUAUUUAAAGCAUGUUUUAUGCUAUGAUUGAUAGUUUUUAUAAAAACUGACAUUUGUGAAAUUAAGGGUUAAAUAUUGGUUAUAUACGAGAAAUUCCCUAUUGUAAUACUCUAAUUUAAAACGUGGAAAUGAUGUGAUAAAUGGCAUACUAUAAUCAGAACUUUUCAAAAACUUGUUAACACCUUUUCUUUUUUGGUCGGAGAAAACUUUGUAUGCAUGAGCAAUAGGAGAUCGUACGUCCGCCCACGCAAAAGUUCAAAAUUUUCGAAAAACUUGUAAAUUUUAGGAAUUAAAUUAUGAUUCUAAAAAUCUAAGAUAGUUGAUCAGUUUCCAAUAUUCGUGAUUUCUGAACUUGGAAAAUAAUUUGAUUCUAUAGAGGCAUAGAGGCAUUGGAAGACAUCACAUCAAAAUGUAUAAGAUAAAAAGGAUACAAAGCAGCAACUUUAUUUGCAUUCAAACUAAUUGGUGCGAUUUACGGAUUUAGCAAGCGCACGAUGUUUACAAAAAUUCUUAGAUAAUUUAUUUAAUGUAAAAUCUCACAAAAGAUAGUUGAAAAUAAACAGACGAACAAAUGAAAUAUGAACAUUAUUUAAUUAACAGAAAAAUAAAUACACUAAAUUGUCGGAACGGCUACAAACCAUAGUUCUAAAAGUCUCCACCU